RNAcentral lists this ribosomal RNA (273 nucleotides) under uncultured bacterium. RNAcentral's name for it is "partial 16S ribosomal RNA". It matches the Rfam family "Bacterial small subunit ribosomal RNA", at positions 523 to 796 of the family's 1533-position model. The record is from RNAcentral.
AUACGGAGGGUGCAGCGUUAUCCGGAAUCAUUGGGUUUAAAGGGUCCGCAGGCGGAUUAAUAAGUCAGUGGUGAAAUCCUCUCGCUCAACGAGAGAACUGUCAUUGAAACUGUUAGUCUUGAAUUCGGUCGAAGUAGGCGGAAUGUGUCAUGUAGCGGUGAAAUGCAUAGAUAUGACACAGAACACCGAUAGCGAAGGCAGCUUACUAGACCUGGAUUGACGCUCAUGGACGAAAGCGUGGGGAGCGAACAGGAUUAGAAACCCUAGUAGUCC